CUCAGUCAGACAGUAGGGUCUAUAGCCGGGGCAUCAGAGAAAGAAAGGAAGACACAACUGGACUUGGAGGUGUGAAUGGUUCAAUAAUAACAGUAAAUAAAUGGAGAGGCACUGGAGAUACUUUAGUGAAUAAGACGUUGGAGGUCACUGACUUCACAGGACUUGGACCUGAAGAUGUUCUUUUAACAUCUGCAUCAGACAAGGAAAUCCGGACACGUAAACAUUUUAGCAAGCUACAUAAAAGGCACAGCCAAAGAGAAGUAUGAAGCUGCUAUGAGAAGUGUGAACAUGGCUCUGGACCCAGGGCUGCAGGCCUCUUCUCGGGCUACACUCAGGAUGGGAGACAUCAUAAACUCUGACUUGUCCCCCUCGUGUCUCAUUUCUCCUUCCAACUAUUGAGCCUGGACAAGUUAACCGCCUUUACCAAGGAAUGAGAUGUCUGGGUGGAGAAAGUAACCACAAGUAUUUUUCAGCUGUGGUCAGUUGUUACGGCUUAAUUAGAUUUUCAAACAGCAUUCACCCAUUCUGCUGAAGUGUGACUCAGCUUCAUCCUUCUUUCAG
Long non-coding RNA from Bos taurus (domestic cattle), 561 nucleotides. Lineage: Eukaryota; Metazoa; Chordata; Mammalia; Artiodactyla; Bovidae. The record is from Ensembl.